This 62-nucleotide transfer RNA is filed under the name Luciola parvula. Its description in RNAcentral is "tRNA-Phe". Lineage: Eukaryota; Metazoa; Arthropoda; Insecta; Coleoptera; Lampyridae. The record is from RNAcentral.
AUUUUAAUAGCUUAUAUAGAGCAUAAUAUUGAAGAUAUUAAGGAGAUACUUAUCUUAAAAUA